Molecule: ribosomal RNA, 408 nt
Filed under: Verrucomicrobiota bacterium
Lineage: Bacteria; Pseudomonadati; Verrucomicrobiota
Description: Verrucomicrobia bacterium partial 16S ribosomal RNA
Rfam family: Bacterial small subunit ribosomal RNA
Source: RNAcentral
UGGGGAAUAUUGCACAAUGGGCGGAAGCCUGAUGCAGCGACGCCGCGUGAGGGAUGACGGCCUUCGGGUUGUAAACCUCUUUCAGUAGGGACGAAGCGUAAGUGACGGUACCUGCAGAAGAAGCACCGGCUAACUACGUGCCAGCAGCCGCGGUAAUACGUAGGGUGCGAGCGUUGUCCGGAAUUACUGGGCGUAAAGGGUACGUAGGCGGAAAUGCAAGUCAGGUGUAAAAGGCAGUAGCUUAACUACUGUAAGCAUUUGAAACUGCAUAUCUUGAGAAGAGUAGAGGUAAGUGGAAUUUUUAGUGUAGCGGUGAAAUGCGUAGAUAUUAAAAAGAAUACCGGUGGCGAAGGCGACUUACUGGGCUCAUUCUGACGCUGAGGAACGAAAGCGUGGGUAGCAAACAGG